GCUUUAAAGGAUCCUAACUUGAAGAUGAUGCUGUUUGGGCCAUAUGUUCAUUGACAUUUUCUAUUUGUUUAGAUGCCACCUACUGGUACGCAGAGCUUUACAGCAAAGUUUUUCUUCACUUUCUGUACAAGUUCAGUCAAAAAGUUCAUGGAUUGUGUCAUUCAGUUGGUUGGUUAUUACUCAGUAUUCUUGUGUUGUUGUACCAUAUUAGUGUGCAUACCUCGUACAGAUUUAGCCUCAAAACGGUUCCUCUCUGAAAUGAUGCAUUUCUUUCAAUGUGUGUACAACCUAUUGAAGAUCUAAGUUAUUACUGCCUUUAUUUCAUCCACUAAUUGAAACCAAUGUCCUUGCAUCAGUUUUUUAAAUAGGCAAAAAGAAAGAAAUCAGAAGGCACCAAAUUGGAGGAAUAUGUAUGGCAAUCUUCAUAGACUGCUUCAAUAAACUAUAAACAUACUGGCAGAAGUGCAUCAUUGCAGAGAGGGAUUGUUUUGAGGCUGAAUCUGCAUGAGAUAUGUACACCGGUGUGGUAUAGCAACAUAGGAAUAUUGAUUAAUAAUUAACCAACUGAUAACCAAGUCCACAAACUUUUUGACUGAACUGUUAUAUAAAUUCAUAUACAGACUGUCCACAUUUUACAUAUAAGAUCCAUGACUUAAAAGAAAAAUAUAUUGGUCGAAACAGAUAAAGUUAUAAUACAAGAUAUGAGCAUUUUUCUAUUAAUUUUAUCAUUUCUUGUAUGUACAUCGGUUUUGGACUUAUUAAUUUUAGUUAAGCCAGGUUCAGAUCACUCAUGAAAAACUGGAAAUGGGGGACUAAAUUGAAUUUGGAUCCUCCAAGAUGGUAAGUGAUUGUUUUACAACAUGGCCAUCCAAUUGACUGUUAUGCUCAUUCUUUAAUAUAACUAUUUUUAAUGUUAUGUCUUGUGAGAUACUAC
Molecule: long non-coding RNA, 934 nt
Filed under: Androctonus crassicauda
Lineage: Eukaryota; Metazoa; Arthropoda; Arachnida; Scorpiones; Buthidae
Source: RNAcentral